UUUACAUUGGUUUUUUGUUGUUCUUCUUGGGUUUCUAACAUCAUCUAAUUUCAAAAGAUGCCAAAUAACAAAUAACACGAAAAAAAGUAAAAAUGCCUUGCCCUGCCACCUCUUGUUCUUGUUCUGGUUGUCAUUUGGGCUUUUAUUAUUAUUACCAAACACUCUCAUCCCGAGGAAUAUUCCUGGAAUGGCAACAACAACAAAAAGCUCGUAUAAUGGAAUUUAUUUUACGGCCAACAGAAAAACUGAAACAACGUUGUCCAUAUGUUCCAAAGCAAUAUUUUUUAAUGCCCCGCCUGAAGGCGCCACAAAACAACAACAACAAAAAAAAAUAAAUAAGAAAAGAAAAAUGCUUGCGACACCCAAAAGACAAUUAAAAUUUAUUCAACGUUUUUCUUCGAGAGAAUGUCCUAGAGUCCGAGAGGAGACAACAAAAAUGGUGGGUGGAAAAAUAAAAACAUAAAUAUGUAAUAAGCAACAUUCUGAUGAAA
This is a long non-coding RNA of Drosophila ananassae, 491 nucleotides long. RefSeq lists it as uncharacterized. The record is from RefSeq and is a predicted model, not a curated record. The transcript is spliced from 2 exons. Lineage: Eukaryota; Metazoa; Arthropoda; Insecta; Diptera; Drosophilidae.